GAUGAAGAACGUAGCGAAAUGCGAUAAGUAAUGUGAAUUGCAGAAUUCAGUGAAUCAUCGAAUCUUUGAACGCACCUUGCGCCCUUUGGCUAUUCUGAAGGGCAUGCCUGUUUGAGUAUCAUGAACACCUCAACUCUCAUGGUUCGCCAUGAUGAGCUUGGACUUUGGGGGUCUUGCUGGCCUACGGUCGGCUCCUCUCAAAUGAAUCAGCUUGCCAGUGUUUGGUAGAGUCGCAGGUGUGAUAACUAGCUACGCUUGUGGUUUUCUGCCAGAUAACCUUCAGUGAUGGAGGUUCGCUGGAGCUUAUAAAUGUCUCUCCCCAGUGAGGACAGCUUUUUGAACGUUUGAUCUCAAAUCAGGUAGGACUACCCGCUGAACUUAAGCAUAUCAAUAAGCGGAGGA
Molecule: unclassified non-coding RNA, 402 nt
Filed under: soil metagenome
Description: partial contains 5.8S ribosomal RNA, internal transcribed spacer 2, and large subunit ribosomal RNA
Rfam family: 5.8S ribosomal RNA (bases 1-121)
Source: RNAcentral